AGCUUUUUGUAAAUAUAAAAAGUAUUACCUGCCCAAUGAAUUAUUAAAUGGCCGCAGUAUUUUAACUGUGCAAAGGUAGCAUAAUCAUUUGCUUUAUAAAUUAAAGCUUGUAUGAAUGGUAGAAUGUAAAUAUAACUGUCUUUUAUUCAUAAAUAAAAUUUGUGUUUUCAGUGAAGACACUGAAAAUUUUUAGAAAGACGAGAAGACCCUAAUGAGUUUUAUAUAUUGUUUUACAAAUAAAUAUAAUAUAUUUUACUGGGGAGGUAAAAGAAUAUAUCUUCUUUUUUAAACUUAAAAUGAUAAUUAAUGAACCAUUAAUAAUGAAUAUAAGUGUAAAUUACCAUAGGGAUAACAGCAUAAUCUUUUUUAAGAGUACAUAUCGACAAAAAGGGUUGUGACCUCGAUGUUGGGUUAAGAAAAUUUUAAGAUGAAGAAAUUUUAAUAAUAAGUCUGUUCGACUUUUAAAAUCUUACA
RNAcentral lists this ribosomal RNA (474 nucleotides) under Ooperipatellus insignis. RNAcentral describes it as "partial 16S ribosomal RNA". It matches the Rfam family "Bacterial large subunit ribosomal RNA", at positions 1817 to 2600 of the family's 2925-position model. Lineage: Eukaryota; Metazoa; Onychophora; Udeonychophora; Euonychophora; Peripatopsidae. The record is from RNAcentral.